This 492-nucleotide ribosomal RNA is filed under the name uncultured bacterium. RNAcentral's name for it is "partial 16S ribosomal RNA". It matches the Rfam family "Bacterial small subunit ribosomal RNA", at positions 29 to 507 of the family's 1533-position model. The record is from RNAcentral.
AGUGAACGCUGGCGGUAGGCCUAACACAUGCGAGUCGAACGGCAGCACAGUAGGAGCUUGCUCUUACGGGUGGCGAGUGGCGGACGGGUGAGGAAUACAUCGGAAUCUACUUUUUCGUGGGGGAUAACGUAGGGAAACUUACGCUAAUACCGCAUACGACCUACGGGUGAAAGCAGGGGAUCUUCGGACCUUGCGCGAUUGAAUGAGCCGAUGUCGGAUUAGCUAGUUGGCGGGGUAAAGGCCCACCAAGGCGACGAUCCGUAGCUGGUCUGAGAGGAUGAUCAGCCACACUGGGACUGAGACACGGUCCAGACUCCUACGGGAGGCAGCAGUGGGGAAUAUUGGACAAUGGGCGCAAGCCUGAUCCAGCCAUACCGCGUGGGUGAAGAAGGCCUUCGGGUUGUAAAGCCCUUUUGUUGGGAAAGAAAAGCAGCAGGUUAAUACCCCGCUGUUCUGACGGUACCCAAAGAAUAAGCACCGGCUAACUUCGUG